This 1372-nucleotide ribosomal RNA is filed under the name uncultured bacterium. Its description in RNAcentral is "bacterial SSU rRNA". It matches the Rfam family "Bacterial small subunit ribosomal RNA". The record is from RNAcentral.
AGAGUUUGAUCCUGGCUCAGGACGAACGCUGGCGGCGCGCCUAACACAUGCAAGUCGAACGAGCGAGAGAGAGCUUGCUUUCUCGAGCGAGUGGCGAACGGGUGAGUAACGCGUGAGGAACCUGCCUCAAAGAGGGGGACAACAGUUGGAAACGACUGCUAAUACCGCAUAAGCCCACGGUGCCGCAUGACACUGAGGGAAAAGGAUUUAUUCGCUUUAGGAUGGACUCGCGUCCAAUUAGCUAGUUGGUGAGGUAACGGCCCACCAAGGCGACGAUUGGUAGCCGGACUGAGAGGUUGAACGGCCACAUUGGGACUGAGACACGGCCCAGACUCCUACGGGAGGCAGCAGUGGGGGAUAUUGCACAAUGGGGGAAACCCUGAUGCAGCGACGCCGCGUGGAGGAAGAAGGUUUUCGGAUUGUAAACUCCUGUCGUUAGGGACGAUAAUGACGGUACCUAACAAGAAAGCACCGGCUAACUACGUGCCAGCAGCCGCGGUAAAGCGUAGGGUGCAAGCGUUGUCCGGAAUUACUGGGUGUAAAGGGAGCGCAGGCGGGAAGACAAGUUGGAAGUGAAAACCAUGGGCUCAACCCAUGAAUUGCUUUCAAAACUGUUUUUCUUGAGUAGUGCAGAGGUAGAUGGAAUUCCCGGUGUAGCGGUGGAAUGCGUAGAUAUCGGGAGGAACACCAGUGGCGAAGGCGGUCUACUGGGCACCAACUGACGCUGAGGCUCGAAAGCAUGGGUAGCAAACAGGAUUAGAUACCCUGGUAGUCCAUGCCGUAAACGAUGAUUACUAGGUGUUGGGGGAUUGACCCCCUCAGUGCCGCAGUUAACACAAUAAGUAAUCCACCUGGGGAGUACGACCGCAAGGUUGAAACUCAAAGGAAUUGACGGGGGCCCGCACAAGCAGUGGAGUAUGUGGUUUAAUUCGAAGCAACGCGAAGAACCUUACCAGGUCUUGACAUCCGAUGCAUAGCACAGAGAUGUGUGAAAUCCUUCGGGACAUCGAGACAGGUGGUGCAUGGUUGUCGUCAGCUCGUGUCGUGAGAUGUUGGGUUAAGUCCCGCAACGAGCGCAACCCUUAUUGCCAGUUACUACGUUAAGAGGACUCUGGCGAGACUGCCGUUGACAAAACGGAGGAAGGUGGGGAUGACGUCAAAUCAUCAUGCCCUUUAUGACCUGGGCUACACACGUACUACAAUGGCGUUAAACAAAGAGAAGCAAGACCGCGAGGUGGAGCAAAACUCAAAAACAACGUCUCAGUUCAGAUUGCAGGCUGCAACUCGCCUGCAUGAAGUCGGAAUUGCUAGUAAUCGCGGAUCAGCAUGCCGCGGUGAAUACGUUCCCGGGCCUUGCACUCACCGCCCGUCA